UUUUAUAUUGAUGGCACAUUUGAUGCUGCACCAAGCUUUGGUGGACAAUGUCAGCAAUUAUUCGUCAUUAUGGGCAUUAGUUAUGAUGUUGGGUUUCCAUUGGUUUACGCUUUAAUGUCCAGAAAAACAGAGCAGGCAUACAAUGCUCUUUUUAUGUAUAUUAAAACAAUUGAGCCCACUUGGCAACCACAAACAAUUAUGAUGGAUUUUGAGCGUGCAUCCAUCAAUGCCAUCAGGUCGCAAUUUCCGAGGACCAGAAUUGUUGGUUGUUGGUUCCAUUCCUCCCAAAGUUUGUGGCGAAAAAUCCAGGAAUUAGGGUUAACUCGUUUAUACAAAAUCAAUAGAAAAGUAUAUGACUUUUUUCGUAUGGCGAUGGCAAUAGCAUUAUUACCGCCAGAAAAUGCAAGGGAAGGCUUUAUGGAAUUGGAAAUUUUUUUCCAAAACAAUAUUUAUAAUACUGUUGAACCAGAUAUAAGUUUGAAGUUUUUCCAAUUCCUACAUUAUUUUAAUAAGACUUGGUUAACAGGUAAUUUGAUUAUGUAAACAGAUAAAAAUUUAUUAUAAUUUAAUUUUUUCUCUAAUACUACGAGUAUGAGUAUAACUGAGUGAGGAUCAAAAUUAUAAUAAAAUUAAACUUUUUUAUGAGUUUUAGCCAGCUGUUUUUUUUUUCAAUGUUAAUAGUUAAUACUAAUAAAACUACUUUAAUAGGCUUAUUUUCUGAACUAUUGUCUGUAACAGACUUGAACCGCCGUACAAAUAAUGUAUUAGAAAUAAGCCAUAGGAAUCUUAUGACUAAUAUAAAUAUUCCAAACCCAAACCCAUGGCUAUUUAUAGGUAAAGUAUGAACAAGAUUAAUUUUAAUAAUCAAUUGUCAGGUUUAAUUUUUUUGAUAUAUUUUUCAGUUACGCCCGGUUACGGUCUUGUAUUUCCUACUUAAACAAAUGUUUUUAUUUCAGAAAUGCUUAUUAGAUAUACGAGUGGCAUAAUCAAUGAUUACCGGUUAGCAAGUGAUGGGAUAGAAAUAAGGCAACCAAGACCACGUGUAUGGAUAGCACAAGAUAAAAAAAUAAAAACCGGACUAACCAAGUUGAGAAACAACAGAUUUUCAGUGGCCGAAUUUUUGGGCUACUGUAAACACAGUACACCAAAUUUUGGAAUAAACCGACCCAAUGAAGAGCAACAAGUUGAUGAUGAUGAUGAUGUGAAUAAUAUUGC
This 1215-nucleotide unclassified non-coding RNA is filed under the name Acyrthosiphon pisum (pea aphid). RNAcentral's name for it is "uncharacterized LOC100569037, transcript variant X1". Lineage: Eukaryota; Metazoa; Arthropoda; Insecta; Hemiptera; Aphididae. The record is from RNAcentral.